This 508-nucleotide ribosomal RNA is filed under the name uncultured bacterium. Its description in RNAcentral is "partial 16S ribosomal RNA". It matches the Rfam family "Bacterial small subunit ribosomal RNA", at positions 28 to 523 of the family's 1533-position model. The record is from RNAcentral.
GAUGAACGCUAGCUACAGGCUUAACACUUGCAAGUCGAGGGGAAACGAUAGAGAAAGCUUGCUUUUUCUAGGCGUCGACCGGCGCACGGGUGAGUAACGCGUAUCCAACCUGCCCAUCACUUGGGGAUAACCUUGCGAAAGUAAGACUAAUACCCAAUGACGUCUCUAGAAGACAUCUGAAAGAGAUUAAGGAUUUAUCGGUGAUGGAUGGGGAUGCGUCUGAUUAGCUUGUUGGCGGGGUAACGGCCCACCAAGGCGACGAUCAGUAGGGGUGCUGAGAGGAAGCGCCCCCACAUUCGAGCGGAGACACGGUCCAAUCUCCUACAGGAUGCAGCAGUGAGUAAUAUUGCUCAAUGGACGAGAGUCUGACCCAGCCAAGUAGCGUGCAGGAUGACGGCCCUCUGGGUUGUAAACUGCUUUUAUAAGGGAAUAAAGUGAGAGUCGUGACUCUUUUUGCAUUUACCUUAUGAAUAAGGACCGGCUAAUUCCGUGCCAGCCGCCGCAGUAA